RNAcentral lists this ribosomal RNA (79 nucleotides) under Proteus mirabilis. RNAcentral describes it as "partial 23S ribosomal RNA". Lineage: Bacteria; Pseudomonadati; Pseudomonadota; Gammaproteobacteria; Enterobacterales; Morganellaceae. The record is from RNAcentral.
GUGUAAGCGUAGCGAUACGUUGAGCUAACCAGUACUAAUGAACCGUGAGGCUUAACCUGACAACACCGAAAGUGUUUUG